CCCUUAGACGUUCUGGGCCGCACGCGCGCUACACUGACGAAGACAACGAGCUUUCCUUUACCGAAAGGUACGGGUAAUCUUUUGAAACUUCGUCGUGCUGGGGAUAGAUCCUUGCAAUUUUUGAUCUUAAACGAGGAAUGCCUAGUAAGCGCAAGUCAUCAACUUGCGUUGAUUACGUCCCUGCCCUUUGUACACACCGCCCGUCGCUACUACCGAUUGAAUGGUUUAGUGAGGCCUUCGGAUCCGCGACUCGUUUGUGGAGAAGUUGGACAAACUCAGUCAUUUAGAGGAAGUAAAAGUCGUAACA
RNAcentral lists this ribosomal RNA (307 nucleotides) under uncultured eukaryote. Its description in RNAcentral is "partial 18S ribosomal RNA". It matches the Rfam family "Eukaryotic small subunit ribosomal RNA", at positions 1470 to 1796 of the family's 1831-position model. The record is from RNAcentral.